Long non-coding RNA from Callithrix jacchus (white-tufted-ear marmoset), 719 nucleotides. RefSeq lists it as uncharacterized. NCBI's taxonomy places the organism in Eukaryota, Metazoa, Chordata, Mammalia, Primates, Cebidae. The record is from RefSeq and is a predicted model, not a curated record.
AGGCAAAAAUAUGGUCUUGAGGUUUGAUUAAACUAAAAUUGCUCUAGUCAGAGAGUGGGGUGGGGAAGAGGGUUUCAAGAAUUCCAAUCAGUCCCUGAUGACACUGUGGAGAUCCAAGUUGCCUUGGAAUAUGCAAUCAAUGUGGAAAUCGCCAGAAGUAUAGAGGAGUGACGGCUCCAGGCUCCAGUGCAGCAGGGCCUAGAGAACGGCGAAGGCAUCCCAAAACUAAGAAAGUUGCAUCUCUGUGUUGACAGCAGACUUUAAAACAGGAACUGUGUCAAGUUUCACUUUCCGGACCUGCUACACUCUGAGCCUUGUGCAAAGAGCCUUGUGCAUUUGUUAAGUUGAAGUGAAUUGGAACGAAAAAGUUGCUUCCUACAGAAUAUCUGGCCAGUGCUACUCAAAACUGUCAAGAUCAUUAAAGCAAGAAAAUUCUGAGAAACUGUCACGGCCAAGAGGAACCUGAGGAGUCAUGACAAGUAAAUACUAUGGUACCCUGGAUGAGAUCCUCAAACAGAAAUAGACAUCAGAAAGAAAGAAAAAAAAGGAGUGAAGGAGAGGAAGAAAGAGGAAGAAAAAGAGGGAGAGAAAACGGGAAUGUAGCUUUAUUCUAAAAAUGGGUAUUAAUAAUGGCCGAUCAAUAUUUUGUGUAUUUAAGGUGGAGAAUGUAUAUUUUGUGUAUUUAAAAUGAAGAGCUCUAUAAAUAUUUAUUGAGUUUA